UCCUACGGGAGGCAGCAGUGGGGAAUAUUGCGCAAUGGGCGAAAGCCUGACGCAGCAACGCCGCGUGCGGGAUGACGGCCUUCGGGUUGUAAACCGCUUUCAGCAGGGACGAAGCAACACGUGACGGUACCUGCAGAAGAAGCACCGGCCAACUACGUGCCAGCAGCCGCGGUGAUACGUAGGGUGCGAGCGUUGUCCGGAAUUAUUGGGCGUAAAGAGCUUGUAGGCGGUCUAUUGCGUCGAAAGUGAAAACUCAGGGCUCAACCCUGAGCCUGCUCUCGAUACGGGUAGACUUGAGGGACGUAGGGGAGAACGGAAUUCUUGGUGGAGCGGUGGAAUGCGCAGAUAUCAGGAGGAACACCGGUGGCGAAGGCGGUUCUCUGGACAUUUCCUGACGCUGAGAAGCGAAAGCGUGGGUAGCAAACAGGCUUAGAUACCCUGGUAGUCCACGCCGUAAACGGUGGGUACUAGGUGUGGGGGACAUUCCACGUUCUCCGUGCCGCAGCUAACGCAUUAAGUACCCCGCCUGGGGAGUACGGCCGCAAGGCUAAAACUCAAAGGAAUUGACGGGGCCCCGCACAAGCGGCGGAGCAUGCGGAUUAAUUCGAUGCAACGCGAAGAACCUUACCUGGGUUUGACAUAUGCCGGAAAGGCCUAGAGAUAGGCCCCCCCUUGUGGUCGGUUUACAGGUGGUGCAUGGCUGUCGUCAGCUCGUGUCGUGAGAUGUUGGGUUAAGUCCCGCAACGAGCGCAACCCUCGUCCUAUGUUGCCAGCGGAUAAUGCCGGGGACUCUGUAGGAUACUGCCGGGGUCAACUCGGAGGAAGGUGGGGAUGACGUCAAGUCUUCAUGCCCCUUAUGUCCAGGGCUUCACGCAUGCUACAAUGGCCAGUACAAAGGGCUGCAAACUCGCAAGGGUAAGCGAAUCCCAAAAAGCUGGUCUCAGUUCGGAUUGGGGUCUGCAACUCGACCCCAUGAAGUCGGAGUCGCUAGUAAUCGCAGAUCAGCAACGCUGCGGUGAAUACGUUCCCGGGCCUUGUACACACCGCCAUCGGAUCC
RNAcentral lists this ribosomal RNA (1057 nucleotides) under uncultured Microlunatus sp. RNAcentral's name for it is "bacterial SSU rRNA". It matches the Rfam family "Bacterial small subunit ribosomal RNA", at positions 337 to 1404 of the family's 1533-position model. Lineage: Bacteria; Bacillati; Actinomycetota; Actinomycetes; Propionibacteriales; Propionibacteriaceae. The record is from RNAcentral.